RNAcentral lists this ribosomal RNA (497 nucleotides) under uncultured bacterium. Its description in RNAcentral is "partial 16S ribosomal RNA". It matches the Rfam family "Bacterial small subunit ribosomal RNA", at positions 28 to 507 of the family's 1533-position model. The record is from RNAcentral.
GAUGAACGCUGGCGGCGUGCCUAAUACAUGCAAGUCGAGCGAACAGAUAAGGAGCUUGCUCCUUUGACGUUAGCGGCGGACGGGUGAGUAACACGUGGGUAACCUACCUAUAAGACUGGGAUAACUUCGGGAAACCGGAGCUAAUACCGGAUAAUAUUUCGAACCGCAUGGUUCGAUAGUGAAAGAUGGUUUUGCUAUCACUUAUAGAUGGACCCGCGCCGUAUUAGCUAGUUGGUAAGGUAACGGCUUACCAAGGCGACGAUACGUAGCCGGCCUGAGAGGGGGAUCGGCCACACUGGAACUGAGACACGGUCCAGACUCCUACGGGAGGCAGCAGUAGGGAAUCUUCCGCAAUGGGCGAAAGCCUGACGGAGCAACGCCGCGUGAGUGAUGAAGGUCUUCGGAUCGUAAAACUCUGUUAUUAGGGAAGAACAUACGUGUAAGUAACUGUGCACGUCUUGACGGUACCUAAUCAGAAAGCCACGGCUAACUACGUG